This 74-nucleotide transfer RNA is filed under the name Bacilli bacterium. RNAcentral's name for it is "tRNA-Thr". It matches the Rfam family "tRNA". From Rfam's summary of the family: Transfer RNA (tRNA) molecules are approximately 80 nucleotides in length. Their secondary structure includes four short double-helical elements and three loops (D, anti-codon, and T loops). The record is from RNAcentral. Lineage: Bacteria; Bacillati; Bacillota; Bacilli.
GCCGAUUUAGUUUAGUGGUAAAACAGAAGCAUGGUAAGCUUCAGAGAACAGUUCAAUUCUGUUAAUCGGCACCA